Molecule: ribosomal RNA, 453 nt
Filed under: uncultured Porphyromonadaceae bacterium
Lineage: Bacteria; Pseudomonadati; Bacteroidota; Bacteroidia; Bacteroidales; Porphyromonadaceae
Description: partial 16S ribosomal RNA
Rfam family: Bacterial small subunit ribosomal RNA
Source: RNAcentral
ACGGGAGGCAGCAGUGAGGAAUAUUGGUCAAUGGGCGAGAGCCUGAACCAGCCAAGUCGCGUGAAGGAUGAAGGUUCUAUGGAUUGUAAACUUCUUUUAUUCGAGGGUAAAGUGACGGACGUGUCCGUUAUUGCAAGUAUCGAAUGAAUAAGCAUCGGCUAACUCCGUGCCAGCAGCCGCGGUAAUACGGAGGAUGCGAGCGUUAUCCGGAUUUAUUGGGUUUAAAGGGUGCGUAGGCGGGAUUCUAAGUCAGCGGUAAAAGCGUGUGGCUCAACCAUACCAAGCCGUUGAAACUGGAGUUCUUGAGUGUAAACGAGGUAGGCGGAAUGUGACGUGUAGCGGUGAAAUGCUUAGAUAUGUCACAGAACCCCGAUUGCGAAGGCAGCUUACCAGCAUACAACUGACGCUGAGGCACGAAAGUGUGGGGAUCGAACAGGAUUAGAUACCCUGGUA